UUUUUAAAUAAAGACUAGUAUGAACGGCCGCACGAGGACCUAACUGUCUCCUUUGUCCGAUCAGUGAAACUGAUCCCCUCGUGCAGAAGCGAGGAUUUUAUCAUAAGACGAGAAGACCCUAUGGAGCUUUAAACUUUUAUUAACCAUUUUCUUUACCUCUCUAAGGGGUUAACAACUAAUUUAAUUUUCUUAAUAAAAGUUUUAGGUUGGGGCGACCAUGGAGAAAAAAAAAUCCUCCCUGAUGACUUCCUAACUAAGAGCCACAGCUCCAAGUAUUAAGACACUUAACUCCUAUUGACCCAUUUUAUGAUCAACGAACCAAGUUACCCUAGGGAUAACAGCGCAAUCCAUUUCAAGAGUCCCUAUCGAC
This 370-nucleotide ribosomal RNA is filed under the name Boulenophrys obesa. Its description in RNAcentral is "Megophrys obesa partial 16S ribosomal RNA". It matches the Rfam family "Bacterial large subunit ribosomal RNA", at positions 1973 to 2509 of the family's 2925-position model. Lineage: Eukaryota; Metazoa; Chordata; Amphibia; Anura; Megophryidae. The record is from RNAcentral.